RNAcentral lists this unclassified non-coding RNA (268 nucleotides) under Hevea brasiliensis (rubber tree). Lineage: Eukaryota; Viridiplantae; Streptophyta; Magnoliopsida; Malpighiales; Euphorbiaceae. The record is from RNAcentral.
GGAUUGACUGAGGAAAACAGUCAGGUUUGUUCUAUUACUUCAAUAUGAAAGUUUGCUUCACAUAAAUCUAGUUUAGAGAAAUUUUUCAUGAACUGUAGUUAAUUGUUUGUAUGCACAUUGUUACACAUCCUUUGUCAUGCAAGGAGCAAAAUUCUUGUAUUUAUUUAUGGAUCCUAUUUAAAAUACAUUUUCAGUCCUAUGCCUAUAGAAGUAGGGUCUCUAUAUAUUGACAAAUUUCUUUCUUAUUAUAAAUUAAAUUAAACUAACU